This 497-nucleotide ribosomal RNA is filed under the name uncultured bacterium. Its description in RNAcentral is "partial 16S ribosomal RNA". It matches the Rfam family "Bacterial small subunit ribosomal RNA", at positions 28 to 507 of the family's 1533-position model. The record is from RNAcentral.
GAUGAACGCUGGCGGCGUGCCUAAUACAUGCAAGUCGAGCGAACAGAUGAGGAGCUUGCUCCUCUGACGUUAGCGGCGGACGGGUGAGUAACACGUGGAUAACCUACCUAUAAGACUGGGAUAACUUCGGGAAACCGGAGCUAAUACCGGAUAAUAUAUUGAACCGCAUGGUUCAAUAGUGAAAGACGGUUUUGUUGUCACUUAUAGAUGGAUCCGCGCCGCAUUAGCUAGUUGGUAAGGUAACGGCUUACCAAGGCAACGAUGCGUAGCCGACCUGAGAGGGUGAUCGGCCACACUGGAACUGAGACACGGUCCAGACUCCUACGGGAGGCAGCAGUAGGGAAUCUUCCGCAAAGGGCGAAAGCCUGACGGAGCAACGCCGCGUGAGUGAUGAAGGUCUUCGGAUCGUAAAACUCUGUUAUUAGGGAAGAACAAAUGUGUAAGUAACUAUGCACGUCUUGACGGUACCUAAUCAGAAAGCCACGGCUAACUACGUG